AUUGAACGCUGGCGGCAGGCCUAACACAUGCAAGUCGAGCGAGCGGCGGACGGGUGAGUAAUGUAUGGGAAACUGCCUGAUGGAGGGGGAUAACUACUGGAAACGGUAGCUAAUACCGCAUACUAUCAGAUGUGCCCAGAUGGGAUUAGCUAGUAGGUGGGGUAAUGGCUUACCUAGGCGACGAUCCCUAGCUGGUCUGAGAGGAUGAUCAGCCACACUGGGACUGAGACACGGUCCAGACUCCUACGGGAGGCAGCAGUGGGGAAUAUUGCACAAUGGGCGCAAGCCUGAUGCAGCCAUGCCGCGUGUGUGAAGAAGGCCUUCGGGUUGUAAAGUACUUUCAGCGGGGAGGCGUUACCCACAGAAGAAGCACCGGCUAACUCCGUGCCAGCCGCCGCGGUAAUAC
RNAcentral lists this ribosomal RNA (406 nucleotides) under uncultured bacterium. RNAcentral's name for it is "partial 16S ribosomal RNA". It matches the Rfam family "Bacterial small subunit ribosomal RNA", at positions 30 to 526 of the family's 1533-position model. The record is from RNAcentral.